AACUUUUAGCAAUGGAUCUCUUGGCUCUCGCAUCGAUGAAGAACGCGGCGAGAUGCGAUAAGUAAUGUGAAUUGCAGAAUUCAGUGAAUCAUCGAAUCUGUGAACGCACCUUGCGCUCCUUGGUAUUCCGAGGAGCAUGCCUGUUUGAGUGUCAUUAAAGUCUCAACCCCUCCAGCUUUUGCGAGUUGUGAUGGGGCUUGGAUGUUGGGAGUUUGCGGGUCUUUAUUAAUAAAGGUCGGCUCUCCUGAAAUACAUUAGCGGAAUCGUUUGCAGUCCCGUCACUAGUGUGAUAAUUAUCUACACUGUGAUGAUUGCUCUCUGACUAGUUCAGCUGCUAAUCGUCCACUAUGGACAACACUUAAUGAAAUUCUUGACCUUAAAUCAGGUAGGACUACCCGCUGAACUUAAGCAUAUCAAUAAGCGGAGGCU
RNAcentral lists this unclassified non-coding RNA (429 nucleotides) under uncultured Lycoperdon. RNAcentral's name for it is "sequence contains ITS2". The stretch from base 1 to 154 matches the Rfam family "5.8S ribosomal RNA". The record is from RNAcentral. Lineage: Eukaryota; Fungi; Basidiomycota; Agaricomycetes; Agaricales; Lycoperdaceae.